GGGCAGGGGAGGGGUGUGGUCAGAGUAGGGGCAGGGCAAGGGAGGGGUGUGGUCAGAGUAGGGGCAGGGCAAGGGAGGGGUGUGGUCAGAGUAGGGGCAGGGGCAGGGCAAGGGAGAAUAGUGGUAAGAGUAGAGACAGGGGCAGGGAAGGGAGGGGUGUGGUCAGAGUAGGGACAGGGCAAGGGAGGUGUGUGGUCAGAGUAGGGGCAGGGCAAGGGAGGGUUGUCGUCAGAGUAGGGGCAGGGCAAGGGAGGGUUGUGGUCAGAGUAGGGGCAGGGCAAGGGAGGUGUGUGGUCAGAGUAAGGGCAGGGCAAGGGAGGUGUGUGGUCAGAGUAGGGGCAGGGCAAGGGAGGGGUGUGGUCAGAGUAGGGGCAGGGCAAGGGAGGGGUGUGGUCAGAGUAGGGGCAGGGCAAGGGAGGGGUGUGGUCAGAGUAGGGGCAGGGCAAG
Long non-coding RNA from Oncorhynchus tshawytscha (Chinook salmon), 447 nucleotides. Lineage: Eukaryota; Metazoa; Chordata; Actinopteri; Salmoniformes; Salmonidae. The record is from Ensembl.